This 423-nucleotide ribosomal RNA is filed under the name uncultured bacterium. Its description in RNAcentral is "bacterial SSU rRNA". It matches the Rfam family "Bacterial small subunit ribosomal RNA", at positions 355 to 776 of the family's 1533-position model. The record is from RNAcentral.
UAAGGAAUAUUGGACAAUGGGCGCAAGCCUGAUCCAGCCAUGCCGCGUGGUGGAUGACGGCCCUCUGGGUUGUAAACACCUUUUAUGUGGGGAUAAUGUGGUUCUAUACGAAUCAUUGCAGGUACCACAUGAAUAAGCACCGGCUAACUACGUGCCAGCAGCCGCGGUAAUACGUAGGGUGCAAGCGUUGUCCGGAUUUAUUGGGUUUAAAGGGUGCGCAGGCGGCUUAUUAAGUUAGUGGUGAAAUCGUCCGGCUCAACCGGAUACCCGCCAUUGAUACUGGUAAGCUUGAGUAUGUUCGAGGAGAUUGGAACGUGUAGUGUAGCGGUGAAAUGCAUAGAUAUUACGCAGAACACCAAUUGCGAAGGCAGAUCUCUGGGACAUAACUGACGCUGAGGCACGAAAGCGUGGGGAGCGAACAGG